GGGGAAUAUUGCACAAUGGAGGAAACUCUGAUGCAGCGACGCCGCGUGAGGGAAGAAGGUCUUCGGAUUGUAAACCUCUGUCCCUGGUGACGAUAAUGACGGUAGCCAGGGAGGAAGCCACGGCUAACUACGUGCCAGCAGCCGCGGUAAUACGUAGGUGGCAAGCGUUGUCCGGAAUUACUGGGUGUAAAGGGAGCGUAGGCGGGUGCGCAAGUUGAAUGUCAAAUCUACCGGCUUAACUGGUAGCCGCGUUCAAAACUGCGUAUCUUGAGUGAAGUAGAGGCAGGCGGAAUUCCUAGUGUAGCGGUGAAAUGCGUAAAUAUUAGGAGGAACACCAGUGGCGAAGGCGGCCUGCUGGGCUUUAACUGACGCUGAGGCUCGAAAGCGUGGGUAGCAAAC
RNAcentral lists this ribosomal RNA (399 nucleotides) under uncultured bacterium. Its description in RNAcentral is "bacterial SSU rRNA". It matches the Rfam family "Bacterial small subunit ribosomal RNA", at positions 356 to 773 of the family's 1533-position model. The record is from RNAcentral.